AUUGAACGCUGGCGGCAGGCUUAACACAUGCGAGUCGAGCGGGGAAAGGUAGCUUGCUACCUGACCUAGCGGCGGACGGGUGAGUAAUGCUUAGGAAUCUGCCUAUUAGUGGGGGACAACAUCUCGAAAGGGAUGCUAAUACCGCAUACGUCCUACGGGAGAAAGCAGGGGACCUUCGGGCCUUGCGCUAAUAGAUGAGCCUAAGUCGGAUUAGCUAGUUGGUGGGGUAAAGGCCUACCAAGGCGACGAUCUGUAGCGGGUCUGAGAGGAUGAUCCGCCACACUGGGACUGAGACACGGCCCAGACUCCUACGGGAGGCAGCAGUGGGGAAUAUUGGACAAUGGGGGGAACCCUGAUCCAGCCAUGCCGCGUGUGUGAAGAAGGCCUUUUGGUUGUAAAGCACUUUAAGCGAGGAGGAGGCUACCGAGAUUAAUACUCUUGGAUAGUGGACGUUACUCGCAAAAUAAGCACCGGCUAACUCUGUG
Molecule: ribosomal RNA, 485 nt
Filed under: uncultured bacterium
Lineage: Bacteria
Description: partial 16S ribosomal RNA
Rfam family: Bacterial small subunit ribosomal RNA
Source: RNAcentral